CCUACGGGUGGCAGCAGUGGGGAAUAUUGGACAAUGGGGGCAACCCUGAUCCAGCCAUGCCGCGUGUGUGAAGAAGGCCCUCGGGUUGUAAAGCACUUUCAGUGAGGAAGAACGCCUGGUGGUUAAUACCCAUCAGGAAAGACAUCACUCACAGAAGAAGCACCGGCUAACUCCGUGCCAGCAGCCGCGGUAAUACGGAGGGUGCGAGCGUUAAUCGGAAUUACUGGGCGUAAAGCGCGCGUAGGUGGCUUGAUAAGCCGGUUGUGAAAGCCCCGGGCUCAACCUGGGAACGGCAUCCGGAACUGUCAAGCUAGAGUGCAGGAGAGGAAGGUAGAAUUCCCGGUGUAGCGAUGAAAUGCGUAGAGAUCGGGAGGAAUACCAGUGGCGAAGGCGGCCUUCUGGACUGACACUGACACUGAGGUGCGAAAGCGUGGGUAGCAAACAGGAUUAGAUACCCUAGUAGUC
This 465-nucleotide ribosomal RNA is filed under the name Vreelandella stevensii. RNAcentral describes it as "partial 16S ribosomal RNA". It matches the Rfam family "Bacterial small subunit ribosomal RNA", at positions 338 to 795 of the family's 1533-position model. The record is from RNAcentral. Lineage: Bacteria; Pseudomonadati; Pseudomonadota; Gammaproteobacteria; Oceanospirillales; Halomonadaceae.